Molecule: ribosomal RNA, 467 nt
Filed under: uncultured bacterium
Lineage: Bacteria
Description: partial 16S ribosomal RNA
Rfam family: Bacterial small subunit ribosomal RNA
Source: RNAcentral
GACGAACGCUGGCGGCGUGCUUAACACAUGCAGGUCGAACGGAAAGGCCCUGCUUUUGUGGGGUGCUCGAGUGGCGAACGGGUGAGUAACACGUGAGUAACCUGCCCUUGACUUUGGGAUAACUUCAGGAAACUGGGGCUAAUACCGGAUAGGAGCUCCUGCUGCAUGGUGGGGGUUGGAAAGUUUCGGCGGUUGGGGAUGGACUCGCGGCUUAUCAGCUUGUUGGUGGGGUAGUGGCUUACCAAGGCUUUGACGGGUAGCCGGCCUGAGAGGGUGACCGGCCACAUUGGGACUGAGAUACGGCCCAGACUCCUACGGGAGGCAACAGUGGGGAAUAUUGCACAAUGGGCGGAAGCCUGAUGCAGCAACGCCGCGUGCGGGAUGACGGCCUUCGGGUUGUAAACCGCUUUCGCCUGUGACGAAGCGUGAGUGACGGUAAUGGGUAAAGAAGCACCGGCUAACUACGU